CAUACCGCGUGUGAAAUUGCAGGUAUAUAAUAGAUUCACUAAAUGAGAGGGCGAGUUAUCAACACUUACUCUCCAAUGCGUCAUCACCCCCAACACUCCUGUGUAUUUCCUGCAAAUAAGGAUCUUCUCCUACAUGGUCAGUCCGAACAACCUUCAGUCACAACUGAGAAGGUCACAUGGUGCAUCACUGCCGCUCAGUCUCCCCAAGCCCAGUGAUUUCUUCACAAUUAGGGAUCUGAGACCCGCAGUAUGGCAGUGACAAGAUCCAAGUCUUGGGACACCUAGCCAGGAGGGAAGAAUUUGAGGGAGAGGUGGAAAAUAUGCGAGGCUGAACUGACCUUCAAGGACAAGAAGGCUGUGUUCAGAUAGACAGAGUUUGUCUUCUGGGAGAGGAGUGGGCUUAUCCAGGAUGAUCCCAAAGGCAGAUUGAGGACCAGUGGGAGGACAUCCUGAGAAAGCAGAUCCAGCUUUAGGCAAGGAAGGACUUCGUAACAGGCAGAGAGCCCAUGUUGGAAACAAGCAGCUCUGCAAGGUGUGGGCCCACUGUCUGACUCCCUGCGGGGCUGCUGCCUUGGAAGAGCCUCCUGCUUAGAGAGGUUCUCCUGCCGCCAGCUGUCUCUCCUGAGUCCUGAGCACCACAUCUCUGGACCGUCUGGAGCCUCCCCUCCCUUGGCUUACUGCUCCCACCACCCUCUCUCUCCACCUUGCAAGAGACACUCUCCCUCAUCCUGGGUCAUCACCCUCUUUAGAGGCGCCGCCUGGCCACGAGGUUGGAUAUGGGGGGGUGUGUUAGGAGUUACAUCCACUAACCUCUGGGGCUAGAAUGUUCCUCCUAAUCCCGGAUUACCAGCUUACAACCCCAAUGCCCACUUUCUCAAACAAGCCUCGUCUUUUUAAAGUGCUGGUAUUCCCCUCUCUGCCUGUAUUUCUUUUUUUCCUUCUUUUGAGACAGGAUCUUGCUCUGUCACCUAGGCUGGAGUGCAAUGGCACACUCACGGCUCACUGCAGCGUCAAACUCCCAGGCUCAAGUGUUCCUCCUACCUCAGCCUCCUGAGUAGCUAGGACCACAG
Molecule: long non-coding RNA, 1070 nt
Filed under: Homo sapiens (human)
Lineage: Eukaryota; Metazoa; Chordata; Mammalia; Primates; Hominidae
Description: non-protein coding lnc-FAM110B-5:3
Source: RNAcentral